Molecule: non-coding RNA, 925 nt
Filed under: Dendropsophus frosti
Lineage: Eukaryota; Metazoa; Chordata; Amphibia; Anura; Hylidae
Description: partial 12S ribosomal RNA
Rfam family: Bacterial small subunit ribosomal RNA
Source: RNAcentral
UGGUCCCAGCCUUGAGGUCAGCUGUUACUUAAUAUACACAUGCAAGUCUCCGCACCCUUGUGAAAACGCCCUUAUAAUCCUCUAAGGAACAAGGAGCUGGUAUCAGGCUCAAAACUUAGCCCAAGACACCUAGCUAUGCCACACCCACACGGGUACUCAGCAGUGAUUAACAUUGAAAAUAAGCGCCAGCUUGAAUCAGUUAAAGUAGAAAGAGCCGGCUAAUCUGGUGCCAGCCGCCGCGGUUACACCACGUGACUCAAACUGACCUCUUUCGGCGUAAAGCGUGAUUAAAGAACCCCCCCAAUACUGCAAUUAAACUAGAGCUGAGCUGUGACACGCCUACCCCUAAGAACCCCAAAUAACGAAAGUAAUUGCAACUUUUAAACUUGAACUCACGACAGCUAGGAAACAAACUGGGAUUAGAUACCCCACUAUGCCUAACCGUAAACUUUUACUUACCCCCACACCGCCAGGGAACUACGAGCAAAGCUUAAAACCCAAAGGACUUGACGGUACCCCACAUCCACCUAGAGGAGCCUGUCCUAUAAUCGAUAACCCCCGCUUAACCUCACCAUUCUUAGCAUAUCAGCCUGUAUACCUCCGUCGUCAGCUUACCACGUGAGCGCCAACUAGUGAGCUAAAUGCCCCUACGCCAACACGUCAGGUCAAGGUGCAGCACAUAAAAUGGGAAGAGAUGGGCUACACUGUCUAGACUAGACUACACGAAAAACUACAUAUGAAACCUAGUUAGAAGGCGGAUUUAGAAGUAAAGAAAGACCAAAGUGCUUCCUUUAACUUGGCACCGGGGCAUGUACACACCGCCCGUCACCCUCUUCAAAGCUACUACAAAGUCUCUGACACUUCUAUGCAACCCAGAAGAGGCAAGUCGUAACAUGGUAAGUAUACCGGAAGGUGUGCUUGGAAA